UACGGAGGAUGCGAGCGUUAUCCGGAUUUAUUGGGUUUAAAGGGUGCGUAGGCGGAUCGUUAAGUCAGUGGUCAAAUUGAGGGGCUCAACCCCUUCCCGCCAUUGAAACUGGCGAUCUUGAGUGGAAGAGAAGUAUGCGGAAUGCGUGGUGUAGCGGUGAAAUGCAUAGAUAUCACGCAGAACCCCGAUUGCGAAGGCAGCAUGCCGGCUUCCGACUGACGCUGAAGCACGAGAGCGUGGGGAUCGAACAGG
This 252-nucleotide ribosomal RNA is filed under the name uncultured bacterium. RNAcentral's name for it is "partial 16S ribosomal RNA". It matches the Rfam family "Bacterial small subunit ribosomal RNA", at positions 524 to 776 of the family's 1533-position model. The record is from RNAcentral.